Molecule: ribosomal RNA, 348 nt
Filed under: uncultured bacterium
Lineage: Bacteria
Description: bacterial SSU rRNA
Rfam family: Bacterial small subunit ribosomal RNA
Source: RNAcentral
GACGAACGCUGGCGGCGUGCUUAACACAUGCAAGUCGAGCGGAAAGGCCCUUCGGGGUACUCGAGCGGCGAACGGGUGAGUAACACGUGAGUAACCUGCCCUGGACUUUGGGAUAACCCUCGGAAACGGGGGCUAAUACCGAAUAUGACUUCCCCUCGCAUGGGGGGGUGGUGGAAAGUUUUUCGGUCUGGGAUGGGCUCGCGGCCUAUCAGCUUGUUGGUGGGGUGAUGGCCUACCAAGGCGACGACGGGUAGCCGGCCUGAGAGGGCGACCGGCCACACUGGGACUGAGACACGGCCCAGACUCCUACGGGAGGCAGCAGUGGGGAAUAUUGCACAAUGGGCGGAA